UGCAGAAUCCCGUGAACCAUCGAGUUUUUGAACGCAAGUUGCGCCCGAUGCCAUCUGGUUGAGGGCACGUCUGCCUGGGCGUCA
Molecule: ribosomal RNA, 84 nt
Filed under: Eclipta prostrata
Lineage: Eukaryota; Viridiplantae; Streptophyta; Magnoliopsida; Asterales; Asteraceae
Description: partial 5.8S ribosomal RNA
Rfam family: 5.8S ribosomal RNA
About the family: 5.8S ribosomal RNA (5.8S rRNA) is a component of the large subunit of the eukaryotic ribosome.
Source: RNAcentral